AUACGGAGGGUGCAAGCGUUAAUCGGAAUUACUGGGCGUAAAGCGUACGUAGGCGGUUUAUUAAGUCAGAUGUGAAAGCCCCGGGCUUAACCUGGGAACUGCAUUUGAAACUAGUAGACUAGAGUAUGGUAGAGGGGGGUAGAAUUCCUAGUGUAGCGGUGAAAUGCGUAGAUAUCAGGAGGAAUACCAGUGGCGAAGGCGGCCCCCUGGACCAAUACUGACGCUGAGGUACGAAAGCGUGGGGAGCGAACAGGAUUAGAAACCCGGGUAGUCC
Molecule: ribosomal RNA, 274 nt
Filed under: uncultured bacterium
Lineage: Bacteria
Description: partial 16S ribosomal RNA
Rfam family: Bacterial small subunit ribosomal RNA
Source: RNAcentral